AUGAAUGUGUCUUUUGUCCAGCUCGGCCGCCUCGGAUCUCACUGCCACCGGCCUUCACGCACACCCUCGCCACCAGCCUUUGCCCCGUCAGCCUCAGCCCCAGCUCAUUCUCUCAGGCAGUCCCAGCAUUGGCAUGGUACCUCCUCCCGCCGUGGGCCUCACGUCUCUGCUCCCUGUCAACCCUACUGCCAUCAGCAUCACCACAAGCGACUUGUCUGCCCAGGAGGAUGCAACACCAUCUACCUCUACCGGCCACCUUUCAGUGUUUUCUGCUUUCCAAGUAAAGACACCAGCAGUGCCCUCAGAGCGGACCAGCCAGAGAUUUUCCGAAGCCUCCCAUAUAGGCUCCUCCGUGGAGGAGGCCUGAGAUGCUGUCAUGACUUUGGAGCCAGGGUGGCCGACCACCUUGGCCUGGCCAUCUUUGGGGUGGGCUUUGGGAGCCCAGCACUGCUGCCGAGUGUGGUGGAUGAGAACGGCUGCUGCUUGCUGUACGUGGUGGAGCUGUGUGGCGUGGAGCGAGCCUUCAGAGCUGAGCAUUUGACCAACACCAGAGUGGUUCGGGAACAGGAUGCGGACAUUGUCCUCAACGACCAGCGCGUCUCUGGAGUAGUUGUCUGCUCCCCGCCGGAGGCAGCUUCUGAAAUCGUGAUGCAUGCUCUCCGAGCAGAUAUGGCUGCCUUAAAAGAUGCAGACACUGUUAUGAUCAGCAUGAAGUUUCCCUGUGGGGCUAUGGUCAGCGUGGACGUCAGCCAGCACCGUACAGACAGCUGUGACCAGGGAUUGGAGGUGCGUGGGUCCCAAGGCGCGCUGCAGAUGGAGAAUCAGAAUCCCUUGGGCAUCACCGGGCGGGGCACGUCCCUGUCCCUCGGCUCCCAGACCCAGGCUAGCCGCUACCAGGACUCGUAUCGAGAGCUCUUCAGCUACUUUGUCAGAACCCUUAAAGGGAAAGAACCUCCUGAAAUCACCAAAGAGCAGUUCCUCAGGGUCUUCCGGGUGGCUGCGGCCACGGAGCAGUCGUGGUGGAGCCGGUCAGCUGUGGCCCUGCCCUGCGAAUCGGCAGAGGCCUCCGUGGUGAAGACAGAAGCUCCGUGAACCAACCCGAGGCUGGAGACAAGAUCCUGCCCAAUAUCCAGUUGCCUGUUUCUCUUCUCACUGUUACUGAGAGAGGGAGACAGAACCUUCUGGCGAUCUUGUCCUCACUGGAGACUCAGAACAGGAAGCAUUGGGAAACCAU
This 1234-nucleotide long non-coding RNA is filed under the name Papio anubis (olive baboon). RNAcentral describes it as "lncRNA (ENSPANG00000040359.1)". Lineage: Eukaryota; Metazoa; Chordata; Mammalia; Primates; Cercopithecidae. The record is from RNAcentral.